UACACACCACCACUCCCUGUCCCUCUGGAGGGCCACUGGUCCUGCCACAUUGGACUCAGCUGUCAGCUGCAGAAGCCCACAAACACUGGGCAUGUUACCUAAGCAGAACCCUGCAAAGUUCCAAGCCAGGCUCAUGACUCAGUGGGGGAAGCAGUGUUUCUCCCUGAAUCAGCCCCAGCCAGGCCACAUCUGAGGCUUAGCCCAGCCAAGAGUCCAGCCACUGCCCAGCUGCCUGUGGACACACGGGCCCUGUGCUGUCUCAGCUGAGAGGUCCCCAUCUACUGACUCACUCGCACCUGGGGCUUCUUGGCUGGUCAUCUGGAAAGGUACAAACUGAAGUUUUCUUUAUCCAAGGCAAUCUUUUAGAAGUCACCCUACGUUUCUUCAAAGUGUCUGGACGCAGUGUGGAGCGUGGUUUAUUUCGUCCAUGUUGCGGCAGCCUGUGUUGGAACUCGCUGAGGUUUGAAGCCUGUCAUCAACAUACAGACUGACAUGAACUUUCAAUGGGAGUCACAGAGGGCUGUACGGGCAAACAGGAGAAAUGACAGGGUACCAAAGACCGCCCUGUCAGCUGAAGGGCACCCUGGAUGCCUGUCUCUGAGCCCUCACACUCCUGUAACCUGUGAAGAGUGGGCAAGCAGAACAGGUGAUGGGUCAUGCAUCUUCCUGACACACUGUGAAGCAGGAAGAAACAGGAACAGUAGCUCUGUGUUACACGUGAGGAGCGAGAAGCACCAACAUGGGAUGUGUGCUCUGUUUCGGAUGAUUGACCAGCAAGCCCCAAGGAUCUGCCUGUCUCCACCACCCCUCGACCUCCUAGCAUUGGAACUGCAGACAGGAGCUGACACACCCAGGCUUUCACAUGGAUGCUAAGAAUGAUCUAACUCAGGUCUCAGGCUUCCACUGCAAGUGUUGCACCCACUGAGCCAUCCAUCCCGCCCCCUCUACUCUUCGGAAGUUUCCAACCCUAAUAUGGUUUCCGACAAUUGUGUCCAACAAUAAAUAUGUUUUGCUUUAGGGAGGAAAUUCCUCAUUCUCUUCCUUGAGACUCUCUGUUGAACAAAGACAGAUCUUUUGUUAAAAGUAUAAGUUACCAGCUGCCAUAUUCUUGAUAUCUGCAUUCUUUGCAGGGUCUUCAUUCUGGAUUUCAUCUUCAAUAUGGAUCCACAGGCUUUAAGAACAUAACGCUUUCUAAAGAGCUCCAGCAAUGGAAACAGCUGUCAGCUCUUCCACCAAAGAUGCUCAAACCAUCACGCUGUCACAUUUAAAUAUAAGAAGCCCCCAAUAUGGAAGAAGACAUCGCUUCUGGUUACCGUCUUGUGUGUGCUAGCUCUCUUUCACUAAUGUCCACUUAAAAAAUAUACAUCAUAACUUGAGCACAGCGGCACAUGCUUUUAAUCCCAGCACCUGGGAGGCAGAGGCAGGCGGGUCCCUGAGAUUUGAGGCCAACCUGGUCUACAGAGUGAGUUCCAGGACAGCAGGGGCUAUAUAGUUAAACCAUCCAUGUUUUGAAGAAACAAGCAAGUGUAUAUUAUUUACUUAUAUUACAUAUUACAUUGUGCAUAUAUAGUAUAUAUGCAUCAUAGUAAUCUGUCCAUCCCAUACAUUGAAUGAAUUGAUAUUUCAAUCUCCCAAAAAUCUGGAGAAGAAUGUGUGUUCCUUGCUGAGCACUUAAGUGUGUUUAUGAACUGAGUAAAUCAUGCCUUGGCAAAUUAUCGGACUAAA
RNAcentral lists this long non-coding RNA (1725 nucleotides) under Mus musculus (house mouse). Its description in RNAcentral is "predicted gene 8883". The record is from RNAcentral. Lineage: Eukaryota; Metazoa; Chordata; Mammalia; Rodentia; Muridae.